RNAcentral lists this transfer RNA (71 nucleotides) under Ignavibacteria bacterium. Its description in RNAcentral is "tRNA-Ala". It matches the Rfam family "tRNA". Rfam says of the family: Transfer RNA (tRNA) molecules are approximately 80 nucleotides in length. Their secondary structure includes four short double-helical elements and three loops (D, anti-codon, and T loops). The record is from RNAcentral. Lineage: Bacteria; Pseudomonadati; Ignavibacteriota; Ignavibacteria.
GGGUCCAUAGCUCAGCUGGAGAGCGUCUGAUUUGCAUUCAGAAGGUCUACGGUUCGAUCCGUAUGGAUCCA